UUUUUUUUUUUUUUUUUUUUUUAGCUCAGAAAAGAACAGUUUGAGCAAUGGAUUGCCAGAGAUCACAGUGUCCCCCGAAUGACUUGCACUGUGCAGCUGUGCGUACCCAGGGCAAACAGAGUCUCCCGAUCACAUACGUGUUCCUCACCUUCCAAAGAUGCCAGUGAGGGUUCCUCGGUCGGUUGUACUCUGUUUGCUGUUGGGAGCUCUUCAUACAUACUCUGCGUGGCCUGAUAGGGGAUGGUGAUAUAGUGUGUACCAGAAUCAAAUCCAAAUUGUGGCAAAUGUGUCGCUAAUUUAGAUAUUAAACACUGCAGCCCAUGUACUCAGAGAAGAGAGAACUUGGGGUCCCUGGAAACGUGCUCAGCAUGGCCUGUCCCCAUCCUAAGAGCUUUGUGCACGUGAACCUUCUGCGCACUCUUACACAGAACCUCUUUUUAGCAAAGAAGUGCUUGAGGUCAGGGUCAUGAGUGCUUGGCUCUAGGACAGAACUCGGCCAUGUGUGCAACUGGAUGCCGGGAACAGCCGGGGUCAUCGCCACCUAAAACUGCAAUGCACCGGGACAGAGCUGCCCGCCGACAGUCUGCUCACGGACAAGACAGUCUGAACGUGGCCACCCGCCCGGCCUCAGGUGACUGUGCUGCCCACACCGAGCUCCUCAGAAGACUGGGCAUUUCCCCGGGGUGAGGGCGAAGUGAGAGAGAGAAGGGCUGCUGCAGCUUGGUUCCCUAAAAUAAAAGGAGGCGAACACUGACGGGG
RNAcentral lists this long non-coding RNA (759 nucleotides) under Fukomys damarensis (Damara mole-rat). RNAcentral describes it as "lncRNA (ENSFDAG00000024704.1)". Lineage: Eukaryota; Metazoa; Chordata; Mammalia; Rodentia; Bathyergidae. The record is from RNAcentral.